UGAGUAUUAGUCACACAGAGUUUCCACAGACAAGGAUUGCUGAUCUACUCCCCAAUGCUUCUCCUGAAGCUAUUGAUUUGAUCACUAGACUUUGCUCAUGGGAUCCAUUGAAACGACCAACUGCUGAUCAGGCGCUAAACCAUUCCUUUUUCAAUGUAAUUUGAC
Molecule: long non-coding RNA, 165 nt
Organism: Raphanus sativus (radish)
Lineage: Eukaryota; Viridiplantae; Streptophyta; Magnoliopsida; Brassicales; Brassicaceae
Exons: 3
Source: RefSeq, a predicted model, not a curated record